CAUUGACCGUGCUUCCCGUGUUAAUGAGUACUCUUCCGACUUCCAGAUCUCGUAUGACGAGAUCUAUGACGAGAUCUAUGACGAGCGGAUCGCAGUGAGGUUGAUCGAUCCCACCGGCUUCCUCCUUCGUGAAGGUGAUCUUCGGGUAGGAGACCAUGUAGGCCAGUUUGCGCUCGACUCCGCCUUCCGCUGGUAAGCCUUGAUGGCCG
Molecule: long non-coding RNA, 209 nt
Filed under: Brassica napus (rape)
Lineage: Eukaryota; Viridiplantae; Streptophyta; Magnoliopsida; Brassicales; Brassicaceae
Description: long non-coding RNA (BNAP_LNC025957)
Source: RNAcentral